Molecule: ribosomal RNA, 253 nt
Filed under: uncultured bacterium
Lineage: Bacteria
Description: partial 16S ribosomal RNA
Rfam family: Bacterial small subunit ribosomal RNA
Source: RNAcentral
UACGAAGGGGGCUAGCGUUGUUCGGAAUUACUGGGCGUAAAGCGUGCGCAGGCGGCUUCUCAAGUCAGGGGUGAAAGCCCAGAGCUCAACUCUGGAAUUGCCUUUGAGACUGAGUGGCUUGAGUACGGGAGAGGUGAGUGGAAUUCCCAGUGUAGAGGUGAAAUUCGUAGAUAUUGGGAAGAACACCGGUGGCGAAGGCGGCUCACUGGCUCGUAACUGACGCUCAUGCACGAAAGCGUGGGGAUCAAACAGG